This 207-nucleotide ribosomal RNA is filed under the name uncultured bacterium. RNAcentral's name for it is "partial 16S ribosomal RNA". It matches the Rfam family "Bacterial small subunit ribosomal RNA", at positions 568 to 774 of the family's 1533-position model. The record is from RNAcentral.
CGCGUAGGCGGCCGGGCAAGUGCGGCGUGAAAGUCCUGGGCUCAACCUGGGGACGGCGCUGCGGACUGUUCGGCUGGAGUCCGGAAGAGGGUGGUGGAAUUCCGAGUGUAGAGGUGAAAUUCGUAGAUAUUCGGAGGAACACCGGUGGCGAAGGCGGCCACCUGGUCCGGCACUGACGCUGAAGCGCGAAAGCGUGGGGAGCAAACA